Molecule: long non-coding RNA, 1797 nt
Organism: Lotus japonicus
Lineage: Eukaryota; Viridiplantae; Streptophyta; Magnoliopsida; Fabales; Fabaceae
Exons: 3
Source: RefSeq, a predicted model, not a curated record
UUCAUCUUCUCUGUUCUCUUUCUUCCUAUCCUUUCUCCCUUUUGCGGUGGUCAUUGGAGCACCCUAACACUGAACUACCGCACGUCGUCCUCCUCAACGGAGAGCACCGCGACAUCCUCUUCUCCACCGUCGCUGACGCUGAGCAACUAGUUUAUAUGCUUCUUGCCCAGAUCUGGGUAAUGGGUUGUGUGGGUUUUGUUGGGAUGGAGGUGCUUUGAUCUUCAGGGUUGGGGUUUUUUUAGUUGAGAGAGAAAGAUCCAAACCCUGAAUAGCGUCACCACCCGAUUCUAGCUACGAUGUGGUUACCUAUAUGACGGCUCGACGCGAUGGUGCUGUCGCUAACAAUCGGGUUUUGCGUUGUCCUUUUAUGGGUUUCAUUAUCUGCUGAAUCUCUAUAUUUUUUGGGUAAAAACAUUAUUUCUAUUAUUGUUCUCUGAAGAUUGUACGUUUCCAUUCAUUUUAUUGAUUUCUCAAUCAAGAAAUCAUACACAGGUCCUGGAUCUAAAUUUAAAUUGGUUCAACUAUUUUUAUUUUAGUAUAUUUCAAUUGAUGGUGUUGUGGAAAUCAAAUGAACUGGGCUUAAGGAAAGAAAAUGACAGAAAUUGAAGAGGUGGUAAAGUGGAGGCGAAGAGAAGAAGACAACGAGAUAGGUGCAGGGCUUUUGUGUCCUUUACUUAAUAAAUUUUAAAUAUAAUUAAAAUCUAUUUUACCAGAUUACCCGGUUUCCCAUUAGCCCCAAUGACAGGUGUUGUGAUGCUAUUGGUCCUCACAUGUAUGGCACCUGCACCUUAUACUCCACCUUUCAUUUUACUCUUUCAAACAAAAUUCAUUUUUGAACUUACUUUUACAACAUUUCAUGAUCGCGUAUGCUGGGCUUUGAGGGCUUAAUUGGGCACUCAGUUCAUGUUAGCUAUUGCUGCCAAAGCAUAUAAAGUAAGUCUUUAGUGAAAUGUCCGAGAAAAACCUGGUCACUUGGAAUGAAAUGGCUGGUGUAUAUGCACAUCGAGCGAGUAGUGGGACCAGAGCAAUGGAGAGAGGCGUGCAGAUAUUUAAAUCAAUGAGUGAUCAUCAAUGGAAUUGAACCACGAUGCACGUGUUGUGGACCUUCCACGGAUUGGUAAACCGUGCAUGUGAGUUUAUUAAACAUAUGCCAAUUCAUCCAAAAAGUUGAGAUACAGCUGAAACAUUAUUUGAGCUUUGAUCCUCAAGAUUCUGGCAAUCGUGUAGUGCUUUUCAACCUGCUGGCCUCUGUUCUGUUGCGGACAUAUUAAGUUCUUUCAUCCAUCUGACAAAACACUGUCCUGCCUCUUUUGCUCAUGCUUGUAGUUGCCAAAUACAGAUGGGAAUAAGCCACUAUCUUCAGGAAGAAAUUGUUAUUAAACAAAUUGUUGUUUAUGUUGGAUUGCUGUAAAGAACAGUGUUCAUGAAUAUAACAUAAAUUCAGGCAAUGCUGGGGACAUGAUGAAGGUUGGAUAUGCUCCAGAUAUUGAUAUAUUACUCUUUGGUUUAUAGGACAAAGAAAAGGCUUCUGAAUUUUUGUACCACAAUGACAUAAUUGCUCUUGCUUGUGGCAUCAUGGCUCUUCCCCAAACGUAUCGCCAAAAAUCUCACGGUUUGAUAUAUCUGUAGUGUCAUUGAGUUUCAUCUCAAGAAUCAUUGUUAGAGAAAUUAUGGACAUAUCAUAAUCGAUUUCAUCACUUUCAAAUAAACUCUCUUUUAUCUUUAUUUCCCCAAGCAGCAGAGGAGUAAAGGUGUAUUCAUUAUGGUAUGCAAAUAACAAAGUCUAUAACUAUGGCA